UACAGAGGUCCCAAGCGUUGUUCGGAUUCAUUGGGCGUAAAGGGUGCGUAGGCGGCGCGGUAAGUCGGGUGUGAAAUCUCGGGGCUUAACUCCGAAACUGCAUUCGAUACUGCCGUGCUUGAGGACUGGAGAGGAGACUGGAAUUUACGGUGUAGCAGUGAAAUGCGUAGAGAUCGUAAGGAAGACCAGUGGCGAAGGCGGGUCUCUGGACAGUUCCUGACGCUGAGGCACGAAGGCCAGGGGAGCAAACGGG
This 253-nucleotide ribosomal RNA is filed under the name uncultured bacterium. Its description in RNAcentral is "partial 16S ribosomal RNA". It matches the Rfam family "Bacterial small subunit ribosomal RNA", at positions 524 to 776 of the family's 1533-position model. The record is from RNAcentral.